Molecule: ribosomal RNA, 258 nt
Filed under: uncultured bacterium
Lineage: Bacteria
Description: partial 16S ribosomal RNA
Rfam family: Bacterial small subunit ribosomal RNA
Source: RNAcentral
AUGUCCUACGGGAGGCAGCAGUGAGGAAUAUUGGUCAAUGGUCGGGAGACUGAACCAGCCAAGCCGCGUGAGGGAGGAAGGUACAGAGUAUCUUAAACCUCUUUUGUCAGGGAACAAAGGCGGGGACGUGUCCCCGGAUGAGUGUACCUGAAGAAAAAGCAUCGGCUAACUACGUGCCAGCAGCCACGGUAAUACGGAGGAUGCGAGCGUUAUCCGGAUUUAUUGGGUUUAAAGGGGGCGCAGGCGGACUGUUAAGUC